RNAcentral lists this ribosomal RNA (459 nucleotides) under uncultured bacterium. RNAcentral describes it as "partial 16S ribosomal RNA". It matches the Rfam family "Bacterial small subunit ribosomal RNA", at positions 338 to 795 of the family's 1533-position model. The record is from RNAcentral.
CCUACGGGAGGCAGCAGUGAGGAAUAUUGGUCAAUGGGCGCAAGCCUGAACCAGCCAAGUCGCGUGCAGGAAGACGGUCCUAUGGGUUGUAAACUUCUUUUGUACGGGAGUAAAGCGCCCCACGCGUGGCGCUCCGAGAGUACCCGAAGAAUAAGCAUCGGCUAACUCCGUGCCAGCAGCCGCGGUAAUACGGAGGAUGCGGGCGUUAUCCGGAUUUAUUGGGUUUAAAGGGGGCGAAGGCGGAAGGUCAAGCAUGCGGGAAAGUGUAGGGGCUAAACCCCGUCGUGCAGUUGAAACUGGUGUGCUUGAGUGAGCGAGAAGCAUGCGGAAUGCGUGGUGUAGCGGUGAAAUGCAUAGAUAUGACGAAGAACUCCGAUUGCGAAGGCAGCAUACUGCAGCUGAACUGACGCUGAUGCACGAAAGUGUGGGUAUCGAACAGGAUUAGAUACCCGUGUAGUC